UAUUUCGAAUCAUAAACCAAUGGAUUAGAAUUAUGUCGAUAAAAAUGGUAAUUUGGUACAAAACGAUCCAACUAUUCCAAUUCAAAAAUGUCACCAAUGUGAUGGAAAAAAGAUUUUUUCACAUUUAAUUUUUCUGUAAAUCGAAUAUGAUAUUUUCGUGCAGACAUUUAUGUAUUUUUUAUGGUAUGAAUACAGAAAUAUAAAUCGUAGAAAAGGAAAAAAAAACAGCCAUUGAAAAAAAUCGUGAAAACUUAAGAAUAAACAAGAUUUUGGCACUAAAUUUUUGAUCAAAGAAUUUAAUUGAUUCAAGAUUAUCGUUGUUUAAAGUUAUUGUCGUCUAAGAUCAAAAUUGGCCCCGAAAUCGAUGAAGAUCGUUUGGUUCGGUCAUCAUGUAAUUUUGACUCAAAUUGGUGAACAAAUUCCAUUUUCGAUGACUUUCAAAUUUUUCUUUUUCAGAUUCCAUUAUACUUACAUGCCUUGAACGAUUGAAUAAAAUCAAAAUGUCAAAAAAUGAAAAAAUCUGUUAACAAGUAAUGAUGAUGAUUUGUUUGGCUAUAAAAGUCAACAGGAAUCUUUAAUUCACUGGAUUUGUUUUUCACUAUAAUGCUCAAAACUUGUUUUGUUGGCUCUCUUUCUUUUUCUCUCUCUCUCUCUCAUUUUUAAAUCACUCAUGUUUUUGUUUUUG
Molecule: non-coding RNA, 685 nt
Organism: Dermatophagoides farinae (American house dust mite)
Lineage: Eukaryota; Metazoa; Arthropoda; Arachnida; Sarcoptiformes; Pyroglyphidae
Source: RefSeq, a predicted model, not a curated record